This 547-nucleotide ribosomal RNA is filed under the name uncultured bacterium. Its description in RNAcentral is "bacterial SSU rRNA". It matches the Rfam family "Bacterial small subunit ribosomal RNA", at positions 355 to 896 of the family's 1533-position model. The record is from RNAcentral.
UGGGGAAUAUUGCGCAAUGGGGGCAACCCUGACGCAGCCAUGCCGCGUGAAUGAAGAAGGCCUUCGGGUUGUAAAGUUCUUUCGGUAGCGAGGAAGGCAUUUAGUUUAAUAAACUAAGUGAUUGACGUUAACUACAGAAGAAGCACCGGCUAACUCCGUGCCAGCAGCCGCGGUAAUACGGAGGGUGCGGGCGUUAAUCGGAAUAACUGGGCGUAAAGGGCACGCAGGCGGUGACUUAAGUGAGGUGUGAAAGCCCCGGGCUUAACCUGGGAAUUGCAUUUCAUACUGGGUCGCUAGAGUACUUUAGGGAGGGGUAGAAUUCCACGUGUAGCGGUGAAAUGCGUAGAGAUGUGGAGGAAUACCGAAGGCGAAGGCAGCCCCUUGGGAAUGUACUGACGCUCAUGUGCGAAAGCGUGGGGAGCAAACAGGAUUAGAUACCCUGGUAGUCCACGCUGUAAACGAUGUCGAUUUGGGGGUUGAACUAUAAGUUUGGCGCCCGUAGCUAACGUGAUAAAUCGACCGCCUGGGGAGUACGGCCGCAAGGUUA